This is a long non-coding RNA of Neogale vison (American mink), 3423 nucleotides long. RefSeq lists it as uncharacterized. Lineage: Eukaryota; Metazoa; Chordata; Mammalia; Carnivora; Mustelidae. The transcript is spliced from 4 exons. The record is from RefSeq and is a predicted model, not a curated record.
GGCUUCACCUGCAACGUGUCGAUUGGACGGAUGGUCGCGGCGCGUGGCUCCGGCCCGGGGCACGGACGCCCAACCUCUCCGUUCGCCACGUCCAAAUUAGCAAGUGCCGGGUUCUGCGGGGUUCAAGAGCUUCACCCAACACCAGUUCACGACUCUUCGUGGCGAAGCCAAAGAAAAUGCAUUCGGACGCCAGCACUUCUGGACUGUGGUCAUCAAAAAUCACCCUGACGAGCACUUUCGAUAAGAGCAAAGCCCCGAGAUUUCCUAGAGCCUCUGCUUCCCACGGGCGGCGCGAGCGCUGGACGCAGUUUAAAGCCGGGUUCUUGCCUUCAAGAAGCUUAAGAUCUAUUCGGAGUACACGAGGCUGCCGGGAAAACAAUGGGAAACAAAGGAAGGCAAAUGGAAUUAAGGGCUAAACGGUGUAGUAAGAUAAUAUAUGUGCUUUACUGACAACUAGUGAAGGUUCAAGGAGUUGGACAUUUCUUAUUAAAGUGGAUCCUGUUAUUGAAAGACCUUGAGGAGAGAAAAUGUUGAGACAGGUGAAUAAUCCUUGUAUGAAACUACAUUUCAUGGCAUUUGCGAACCCACACUCUUGCAAAAAGCAAACAUCCCUUCUUUUCUCUCCCUCUUAACCUGUUUUCUGUUUUAAUAGCACUUACCACCACCUGUAUUAUUAUUUGUAAUAUUAAUAUCAUCAUGUAUGCACCAUUUGUAUUCUGAUCUGUUGUCUCUUCGAAGAUCUAGAAUAUUAUAGCGGUGGAGCAUUUUCAUAUUGGUUAUAUCAUGAACUUCUCACAAGCGUUGCCGAGAAGCAGCCAUAUAAACACACAGGUAAUACUCCUGUGUGAAGCAGUUACACCUAGUCAUUUGGAGCUUUGAUCUAUGUAGAUUAGAUCAGAUGUAUAUUCAGUCCUAUAGACCAAACCAUAGUCAUAAUAAUCUGAACCUAAUUCUUUCAUGUUUCCUAGUUUUUGUUAGGUUUAAUGGUCACAUCUAAGAUUUCUAAAGGCACACACAAAUGCAUAAGCAUUAUAUGGAAACACAAAUACUGAAAUUACUCUUUCUUAGUAAUGGUAUUGCGGUUUUCCUUUUUUUUUUUUUUUUUUUUAUUUAUUUGACAGAGAGAGAGAUCACAAGUAGGCAAUUGCUGUUUUUCUAAGACAGGGUAGGGCUGAUCUUCUACCUCUUUGGAGAACUACUCCAGAGACCCACUCCAGAGUUGCUGCGCCCCUUGAUACACAGCAGCCAACCCAAACCCCUCUACGUGCAGAUUUCCUGUUGUUAGAACAUGGAUUCCAGGAGGGGUGUUAAGUUGCAGAGCAAAGACCCCAUGGGGCUUUCCGGAAACACUACCUUGAGUUUCCCAGGGAAUACCAUUACCUUCAGAAUAAGACCCAAACUCACUCAAGCGUUGACCUUUAACCUACUUGUAAAAGCAACAACAAAAACACAAAACAAAAAACAAAACCAAAAAACCCCACAGAGCCCACCUUCCCUUUCCUAUUCCAAUCCCCUUCACCAAAAUUGGGUGGUUCUUCUCUAUUUUCUUUUCAUCCCUUUCUGAACCCAGUAAUUCCAUUCCAGCCCAUUCACUUUUGCAAGUGUGGAGGAAAAAAUGAAUUCUCCAACUCCUUAAUUACAUCCACCCUUCCCUUCAAUUUCUAGAUCAAGUCCCACCUCAUCUGAGGAUAUUUUCAGUCCACCAGGCCUGAACUGAUUUCUGUAACAACUGCAAGUUUUUCAAUGAGGUAUGAGCCCUCACCACCAUGCCCCUGCCUCCCACUCCUUGCACGUGGAAAUGUGUAGAGGAAUUUGUAUGGUCAGUUAUCAGAUGACUAGGGGAUAGUACUGACGUGCAUGAUGUGGGUGCCAGAGAUAUGACACACACCAAGUUGGUCAUUUGGCCUUUCAUUAGGAAGAACUGGCCCAAAAGGAAAAGAAUACUGCCACAAGCUAUUUACAUUCAACCAUACUGGUUCAACCACAUUGAAACUGUUGGUAUUCAAUCAUAUGAAAUUGCCAAUCACAGGAAAUAACCAUCAUUGCCCUAUAAUAAAAAGGCAAUUUCAUAAGGCUAAACUUAAUAUUGUAUACUUACUUCUCCAGUCUUUCCAAUUACUUAUCUAACUACUUAAGGAGCUAGACAAGCAUCUACACUAUCCAUCUAUUCCCAGCACCUGAUGGUUGGUUAGCAAUCUCAGGAGUUCCCCUGGUGAAAUUUUUAAUUGGUCCCUGUACACAGAGAAUGAGGAAGGACUGAAGAAAAAGAGAGACCACUCCGGAUUGUUGGGUGGCAGUUUUAAUAGUUUUAAUAGGCAGGACCAUUUGCCUACAAGGCCUGUCUUGGGCAGCCACAAGAUAAAUGGAUCUCAGCACCUCCCCACCAGAAUCAUAAGACUUUAUAUAGAGUUCUUCAUGGGGCUCAGUCAUGUGUGCAGUCCAGCUGAUCUCAAAGCUGUAUCCUUGACAUGGCUCCUAAGGUGAGAAUAAUGGGUAGAACGGGCAUUCCAAGGACAGGGCAGGGGGUAAGGACCUUCCAAUUAACCAGAACCAGCUUGUGACUCAACUGACUGUCACCUCCUCUCAAUGACCUCCUCUACCAGUGGCACAAUUCCAGGCAUGCAGUGGUGCCUCCAUACAUUAUGAAGUUUGGGGUUUGUCUGGUUGGUUUUUUUUGUUUUUUGUUUUUUGUUUUUUAAAUGACUAUUAGAAACCACUUUCCCAAGCGGUCUUGCUGACUCUGGCUCAGAAAAGCUAAUCCUAGAGACCAUGCAGCUUGUAAGUGGAAGGUGGCAUCUCUUCUCCAUGGUAUUCAUUGCCCAUUGUCCAUUCAAUGGGAGAAGAUCUCUCUCCUUAUUCCUCAGACUCCCUGACACUCCCUGGCACUUCUCAUGAACGACCUUUGCCUCCAGGGACCACAAGCCUUUCAAUAAAACCAUUUUCAAGGAUCAUCCGGAUUCAUGAAAUUCGGAACAUUAUUUCAUAACAUUGCAAAUAUGCAUUUCCUAACUCCUAGUCAGGAAGCACAAAAAGCAAUGCUCUAAAAAGACAAGAUGUUGGAUUAUAUUUCACAGCAUCAUUUAUCAAGGGAAAAACUCUCACCUGAGGCUGCUAAUGACACUGGUGGAGGUAUUCUGCCAGCUCUCUUGACCAAAAGAGAGGAUCCCAAGAGAUGCGAACACUCUUGUCCAUGGCCCAGUCAACACAUGCAAAGCCCAUGAAUUGCCCAGCAAUCAAUCAGUCAAUCAAUAGAAGCAGGAGGUGUGGGGGAGUAUAUUUAUCUCACAACAUCUUUCAUAUCAAGCACUGAUACCACAGGGUAAGGCCUGAAGUUUAUGAUUUGGGAUUCCUCUUCAAGGAAAAGAGUUGAAAUUUUUUUAAGAUUUUAUUUAUUUAUUUGACAGAGAGAGAGUCAGUGAGAGA